RNAcentral lists this long non-coding RNA (759 nucleotides) under Vigna radiata. Its description in RNAcentral is "long non-coding RNA (VRAD_LNC017538)". Lineage: Eukaryota; Viridiplantae; Streptophyta; Magnoliopsida; Fabales; Fabaceae. The record is from RNAcentral.
UUGAAUUUCUGCACAAGACAAUUCAUAUUAAUUAGUGUAUAUGAAUUCUACAUUUGGGAAAAAAUCAAAAUUUGUUAAAGUUAAAUAUUAUCGUUUCCCAGCGACUUGUGAUGUGAGAACGAACAAUAUGGGCCAUCCAAUACAUUACAUAGUAUCCGCANUCAUAUGACCCAUUUUGUCUGUUACACUACAAUAUAUCAUCACAGUUAUAAAUAGUUAGUGAAUAACAUUAAAAUAAAACAACUAUAACAAAGUAUGACUUUAGCAUAUGUCAAACCUUGAGAGAAAUCCAAGCAAUCUUUCUACUGUUAGCAAUUGAUCUUCCACCCAUCAUCAUAGUUGCUGGAAUAGAACUGUUUAUAAAAAAAGGUUUUAGCAUUCAUUUAUAUAACAAAGAAAGUCCAAACAUUGAGGUUCUUACCAAUCAACUGCUUGUCUAAGAUGUGUGGGAGGAGGCCUGUGCAAUGAGCAGAACCACAAAGCAUAGUUCUCUUGCAUAGACAUAACAAGAAGCUGCCAAUGACGCCUGAAAUUCAUAAUAACUUAACUAUUAAAUAUUAAAAUCACAUAUGGAACUUUAUUAUGUUAACAAAGUUCACUUACCCGGAUAUAUAAGGCAAAAAGUAUAUUUUCUUGCCACUUCCAAAACUUCUUAUUAGAUUCAUGUUGAUCUGAUCAAAAUCAUUUGAUUCAUGAAUUGAUUGGGGAUCAAUGAAUCCAUAAUCAUCANAACGCCCCAACUUGUUACUGACCCCAGAC